This 91-nucleotide transfer RNA is filed under the name Termitomyces sp. J132. It matches the Rfam family "tRNA". From Rfam's summary of the family: Transfer RNA (tRNA) molecules are approximately 80 nucleotides in length. Their secondary structure includes four short double-helical elements and three loops (D, anti-codon, and T loops). Further hydrogen bonds mediate the characteristic L-shaped molecular structure. tRNAs have two regions of fundamental functional importance: the anti-codon, which is responsible for specific mRNA codon recognition, and the 3' end, to which the tRNAs corresponding amino acid is attached (by aminoacyl-tRNA synthetases). tRNAs cope with the degeneracy of the genetic code in two manners: having more than one tRNA (with a specific anti-codon) for a particular amino acid; and 'wobble' base-pairing, i.e. permitting non-standard base-pairing at the 3rd anti-codon position. The record is from Rfam by way of RNAcentral. Lineage: Eukaryota; Fungi; Basidiomycota; Agaricomycetes; Agaricales; Lyophyllaceae.
GGCACUAUAUCCAAGUGGUUACGGCGACAGAUUCGAAUCAAGUAUUAUCUGUUCCUCUUUGAGGGCGCAGGUUCAAAUCCUGCUGGUGUCG